AACAGCAUGUGGACCUCAAUGUGAAGUUUUAAUUGAUAACCAUCUAAUGGCAUGAAAAAGUGUUUCCGCCCGGUCUCGAACCGGGGACCUUUCGCGUGUUAGGCGAACGUGAUAACCACUACACUACGGAAACUGAUUGAUUGUGACUACAACCCCACUACCCUUAAUAGCCAGGUUCGGUGUCCUUCAACAACUUUGAUGACGUUCAUCUGGGUCAUAUACGCUGGGAACAAAACAAGUCGAAACUGGGAGGGACAACCUGAAGAAACACAUGCAAAACAUUUUAUGUUAUGUGCCCUGAACAUGACCAUGAUAUGCCUAAUGAUUUUUCUGAAAGCCCCCGAGACACUCGCCACUACACUUGGCCACAGCAUUGCCUACUUAACUCACUCAAUAGGGCCGAAUGUAUGCACAGGCUUACCAGGGCUGAAACCCUUGGGCCCAGGCAUGUGGUGAGCCCCAAUACUAAGCAAAUGUAAAAAAUGUUUUAACAAAAAGGAAAUAUAUACUGUAUAUAUUAUAUGUAGUAUAUAUUAUGUAUUUUUUUUUUUUACUGCAACUGCCAACCACAGGAGGACUCAGGAGCCCACUCUCAAUGAGUGUAGACAGCCUGCUGCUGUCUAAUGCAGCUCUGCUAAUCAUCAGAUGGGGUGAUGGUGAGGCGGUGGUUCAGGAACAUGGCUACCAUAGCAUCCUACAGCACUAAACCCUAACCCGGACGUUGCUGGGCCAAUUGUGCGCCGCCCUAUGAGUGUUCUCUGGAGGAGGUGACUGUGAAGGAUGUGAGGAUUCUGCCAAACAUCGACUCCUCCUACCUGCCCAUGAUGCCAGACAGGAUAUGUGAUGCUUGUCGACAACGUGUGGUAUGACUGUGUGUGGGAGGGGGCUGUAUACGGAAGUUUACAUAUACUUUAGCCAAAUUCAUUUAAACUCAGUUUUUCACAAUUCCUGACAUUUAAUCCGAGUAAAAAUUCUCUGUUUUAGGUCAGUUAGGAUCACCACUUUAUUUUAAGAAUGUGAAAUGUCAGAAUAAUAGUAGAGAGAAUGAUUUAUUUCAGCUUUCAUUUCUUUCAUCACAUUCCCAGUAGGUCAGAAGUUUACAUUCUCAAUUAGUAUUUGGUAGCAUUGCCUUUAAAUUGUUUAACUUGGAUCAAAUGUUCCGGGUAGCCUUCCACAAGCUUCCCACAAUAAGUUGGGUGAAUUUUGGCCCAUUCCUCCUGACAGAGCUGGUGUAACUGAGUCAGGUUUGUAGGCCUCCUUUCUCGCACACGCUUUUUCAGUUCUGCCCACAAAUUUUCUAUAGGAUUGAGGUCAGGGCUUUGUGAUGGCCACUCCAAUACCUUGACUUUGUUGUCCUUUAGCCAAAUUGCCACAACUUUGGAAGUAUGCUUGGGGUCAUUGCCCAUUUGGAAGACCCAUUUGCGACCAAGCUUAACUUCCUGACUGAUGUCUUGAGAUGUUGCUUCAAUAUAUCCACAUAAUUUUCAUUCCUCAUGAUGCCAUCUAUUUUGUGAAGUGCACCAGUACCUCCUGCAACAAAGCACCCCCACAACAUGAUGCUGCCACCCCUGUGCUUCACGGUUGGGAUGGUGUUCUUCGGCUUGCAAGCCUCCCCCUUUUCCUCCAAACAUAACAAUGGUCAUUAUGGCCUAACAGUUCUAUUUUUGUUUCAUCAGACCAGAGGACAUUUCUCCAAAAAGUACGAUCUUUGUCCCCAUGUGCAGUUGCAAACCAUAGUCUGGCUUUUUUAUAGCGGUUUUGGAACAGUGGCUUCUUCCUUGCUGAGCAGCCUUUCAGGUUAUGUCUAUCGGUCUGUUUUUUCCUGUGGAUAUAGAUACUUUUGUACCUGGUUCCUCCAGCAUCUUCACAAGGUCCUUUGCUGUUGUUCUGUGAUUGAUUUGCACUUUUAGCACCAAAGUACGUUCAUCUCUAGGAGACAGAACGCAUCUCCUUCCUGAGCGUUAUGAUUGCUGCGUGGUCCCAUGGUGUUUAUGCUUGCGUGCUAUUGUUUGUACAGAUGAACGUGGUACCGUCAGGCGUUUGGAAAUUGCUGCCAAGGAUGAACCAGACUUGUGGAGGUCUAAAAAAAAUUUUUUAGGUCUUUGCUGAUUUCUUUUGAUUUUCCCAUGAUGUCAAGCAAAGAGGCACUGAGUUUGAAGGUAGGCCUUGAAAUACAUUUACAGGUACUCCUCCAAUUGACUCAAAUGAUGUCAAUUAGCCUAUCAGAAGCUUCUAAAGCCAUGACAUCAUUUUCUGGAAUUUUAAAGGCACAGUCAACUUAGUGUAUGUAAACUUCUGACCCACUGGAAUUGUGAUACUGUGAAUAAGUGAAAUAAUCUGUCUGUAAAAUAUUAUUGGAAAGAUUACUUGCGUCAUGCACAAAGUAGAUGUUCUAACCGACUUGCCAAAACUAUAGUUUGUUAUAAAGAAAUUUGUGGAGUGGUUGAAAAACUAGUUUUAAUGACUCCAACCUAACUGUAUGUAAACUUCCAACUUCAACUGUAUGUGUGUAAUUUUUUAUUUGUGCAUUGUGUUGACUGGACAAUGUUAGUACCCUACAUUAGAAGUUGGUGUCCAGUCAUAAGGCACGAGUACCUCACAAUCCUUUUGACUGUGAUCCUGCUCAGUUGACAUGCCGGUAAGUGAAAUCAAACAGCUGAUCGAAAUGUCAUGUGAACAAAUGUUGCAGACAAUACAUUCAAGGGUCACUAUGGAGGAGUUGUUUCCUGACUCAAAAGGAAUACCGUGCUGUCUCCCUCUGAGCAUUAAUGGUGACAGGCAGCCCUAUCUUAUUUCUGGGAAGAACAGUUUUCAAACCCCUUUCCAUUUUCUCUACCGUCCUGCCCAUCCCUUUCCGCUUCUUCACCUCCCCCCUCCUCCAGGUCAUGGACAGAGUGAGGAUGCAGUGUUGGGGGCUGUAGUGUGUCACUCCCCCUCUGUAACCUGGGCAUCUGUCAAAAAGGUUGAACUCUCUCCUUCAAUGUCACCUUCCAGAUAUUCAAGGCAGGAGGACUCUAUGAGAUACGGUACACACAGGAUGGGGAAACACUGUGUGUGUGCGCGGGUGUAUUUCUAAACUUUUGACUGGUACUGUGUGUGUGUGUGUGUGUGUGUGUGUGUAAUGUAUGUAAUGUAUGUAUGUAAAUGUAUACACUGCUCAAAAAAAUAAAGGGAAUUUUUGUGUGAUUUUGUUGUCAGCACAUUCAACUAUGUAAAGAAAGUAUUU
This is a long non-coding RNA of Oncorhynchus tshawytscha (Chinook salmon), 3226 nucleotides long. NCBI's taxonomy places the organism in Eukaryota, Metazoa, Chordata, Actinopteri, Salmoniformes, Salmonidae. The record is from Ensembl.